GGAUCAUUACUGGCGGUCUUCGCGACCCCGAUACCUGUGAACCUAUUUUACCACUAUUUGUUGCUUUGGCGAGAUGGCCUUCCCCGUAAGGGGAACAAGCGCGCCGUCCCGCCGAAGUAACCAAUAUUUCAAAGUCUUGAGUUUUUUUUUACUCUGAGCAAACAAAGUCUCCAAAACGAGAGUUACAACUUUCAACGAUGGAUCUCUCGGCUCCGGCCUCGAUGAAGAACGCAGCGAAAUGCGAUACUUAAUAGGACUCGCAGACCCCCUUCGUGAAUCAUCGAGUUUUUGAACGCACAUUGCACCCGCCAGUAUUCUGGCGGGUCUGCCUGUCCGAGCGUCGUCUACACCCCCCGGGCUUGCUUUGCCCCGGCGUUGGGGUAUGCGAGAGAAGGUUGACUCAACCGCGCUCGCAGCCCUCAAAGACAGCGGCGGCACCGUUGGGGCAACGCUGAUACGCAGUAAAAUCUUUUACGUCUCGUAUACAGUAGACCCUUUCGGAGCCUGCCUCCUUUGGCGAGAAGGGCUUUUUGGCCCGACCCGCGACGACUAUCAUGGUCUUGCUUGUCGACCUCGGAUCAGACAGGGUUACCCGCUGAACUUAAGCAUAUCAAUAAGCGGAGGAAGAGAAACCAACAGGGAUUGCCCCAGUAGCGGCGAGCGAAGCGGCAACAGCCCAGAUUUGAAAUCUGUCCCUUUUAGGGUCCGACUUGUAAUCUGCAGAUGGGUCUUCCCGGGGGCACGUGUGCCGCCCAAGUGUACCUGGAACGGUUUGCCGAAGAGGGUGAGAGCCCCGUACGGCGGUGCCGAGCCUCCUCCAGCGAAGCCCAUUCGGAGAGUCGAGCAGUUUGGGAAUGCUGCUCUAAAGGGAGGUAAAUCCCUUCCAAGGCUAAAUACCUGCCGGAGACCGAUAGCGCAGAAGUAGCGCGAGCGAAAGGUGAAUAGAACUCUGAAAAGAGAGUUAAAGCAUGUGAAAUCGUUGAAGGGGAAGCGGUUUCGACCAGACGCGCGCCGGUCGGUCACCCAGCGGUCACGCUGGGGCACUCUGCCGGCGCGGGCCAGCAUCGGCUGGCGGCGGGGUCAAAUGCCCGGGGAACGUGGCUCUUCGGAGUGUUAUAGCCCCGGGCGUAAUGCCUCGUUGCCGGCCGAGGAUCCUAGCG
This 1160-nucleotide ribosomal RNA is filed under the name Sordariomycetes sp. genotype 453. Its description in RNAcentral is "eukaryotic LSU rRNA". The stretch from base 569 to 1160 matches the Rfam family "Eukaryotic large subunit ribosomal RNA", at positions 1 to 597 of the family's 3401-position model. Lineage: Eukaryota; Fungi; Ascomycota; Sordariomycetes. The record is from RNAcentral.